UACGUAGGGUGCAAGCGUUACUCGGAAUUACUGGGCGUAAAGCGUGCGCAGGCGGUUAUGUAAGACCGGUGUGAAAUCCCCGGGCUUAACCUGGGAACUGCAUUUGUGACUGCAUAGCUAGAGUACGGCAGAGGGGGAUGGAAUUCCGCGUGUAGCAGUGAAAUGCGUAGAUAUGCGGAGGAACACCGAUGGCGAAGGCAAUCCCCUGGGCCUGUACUGACGCUCAUGCACGAAAGCGUGGGGAGCAAACAGG
Molecule: ribosomal RNA, 253 nt
Filed under: uncultured bacterium
Lineage: Bacteria
Description: partial 16S ribosomal RNA
Rfam family: Bacterial small subunit ribosomal RNA
Source: RNAcentral